CGGUCUGGGAUGGGCUCGCGGCCUAUCAGCUUGUUGGUGAGGUAAUGGCUCACCAAGGCGUCGACGGGUAGCCGGCCUGAGAGGGUGACCGGCCACACUGGGACUGAGACACGGCCCAGACUCCUACGGGAGGCAGCAGUGGGGAAUAUUGCACAAUGGGCGAAAGCCUGAUGCAGCAACGCCGCGUGAGGGAUGACGGCCUUCGGGUUGUAAACCUCUUUUAGCAGGGAAGAAGCGAAAGUGACGGUACCUGCAGAAAAAGCGCCGGCUAACUACGUGCCAGCAGCCGCGGUAAUACGUAGGGCGCAAGCGUUAUCCGGAAUUAUUGGGCGUAAAGAGCUCGUAGGCGGUUUGUCGCGUCUGCUGUGAAAUCCCGAGGCUCAACCUCGGGCCUGCAGUGGGUACGGGCAGACUAGAGUGCGGUAGGGGAGAUUGGAAUUCCUGGUGUAGCGGUGGAAUGCGCAGAUAUCAGGAGGAACACCGAUGGCGAAGGCAGAUCUCUGGGCCGUAACUGACGCUGAGGAGCGAAAGGGUGGGGAGCAAACAGGCUUAGAUACCCUGGUAGUCCACCCCGUAAACGUUGGGAACUAGUUGUGGGGACCAUUCCACGGUUUCCGUGACGCAGCU
This 627-nucleotide ribosomal RNA is filed under the name Microbacterium aurantiacum. RNAcentral describes it as "partial 16S ribosomal RNA". It matches the Rfam family "Bacterial small subunit ribosomal RNA", at positions 216 to 853 of the family's 1533-position model. Lineage: Bacteria; Bacillati; Actinomycetota; Actinomycetes; Micrococcales; Microbacteriaceae. The record is from RNAcentral.